RNAcentral lists this ribosomal RNA (735 nucleotides) under uncultured bacterium. RNAcentral describes it as "bacterial SSU rRNA". It matches the Rfam family "Bacterial small subunit ribosomal RNA", at positions 54 to 802 of the family's 1533-position model. The record is from RNAcentral.
CAUGCAAGUCGAACGAUGAAGCCUCGCUUGCGGGGUGGAUUAGUGGCGAACGGGUGAGUAACACGUGAGCAACCUGCCCUGGACUCUGGGAUAACAGUUGGAAACAGCUGCUAAUACUGGAUAUGAAUCGUGGCCGCAUGGUCGUGGUUGGAAAGAUUUUUUGGUUCAGGAUGGGCUCGCGGCCUAUCAGCUUGUUGGUGAGGUAAUGGCUCACCAAGGCGUCGACGGGUAGCCGGCCUGAGAGGGUGACCGGCCACACUGGGACUGAGACACGGCCCAGACUCCUACGGGAGGCAGCAGUGGGGAAUAUUGCACAAUGGGCGGAAGCCUGAUGCAGCAACGCCGCGUGGGGGAUGACGGCCUUCGGGUUGUAAACCUCUUUUAGCAGGGAAGAAGCUUUUGUGACGGUACCUGCAGAAAAAGCGCCGGCUAACUACGUGCCAGCAGCCGCGGUAAUACGUAGGGCGCAAGCGUUAUCCGGAAUUAUUGGGCGUAAAGAGCUCGUAGGCGGUUUGUCGCGUCUGCUGUGAGAUCCCGAGGCUCAACUUCGGGUCUGCAGUGGGUACGGGCAGACUAGAGUGCGGUAGGGGAGAUUGGAAUUCCUGGUGUAGCGGUGGAAUGCGCUGAUAUCAGGAGGAACACCGAUGGCGAAGGCAGAUCUCUGGGCCGUUACUGACGCUGAGGAGCGAAAGGGUGGGGAGCAAACAGGCUUAGAUACCCUGGUAGUCCACCCCG